CCUACGGGAGGCAGCAGUGAGGAAUAUUGGUCAAUGGACGGAAGCCUGAACCAGCCACGCCGCGUGCAGGAAGACGGCUCUAUGAGUUGUAACCUGCUUUUGUACAAGGGUAAACCUGAAUACGUGUAUUCAGCUGAACGUACUGUACGAAUAAGGAUCUGCUAACUCCGUGCCAGCAGCCGCGGUAAUACUGAGGAUCCAAGCGUUAUCCGGAUUUAUGGGGGUUAAUGGGUGAUUAGGCGGAUUGAUAAGUGAGACGUGAAAGGUCCGAGCUUAACUCGUGAACUGCCUCUAAUACUGUGGGUCUAGAGAGUAGGUGCGGUAGGCGGAAUGUAUGGUGUAGCGGUGAAAUGCUUAGAGAUCA
RNAcentral lists this ribosomal RNA (364 nucleotides) under uncultured bacterium. RNAcentral's name for it is "partial 16S ribosomal RNA". It matches the Rfam family "Bacterial small subunit ribosomal RNA", at positions 338 to 699 of the family's 1533-position model. The record is from RNAcentral.